UGGCGGUUUUACCCUUCGUUUUUGUCUCAAUUACAGUUUGCAAUUACUUUUUGCGCUGUGGUCUGUUUCUGCGUGGCUCUGUUUGCUUGCUCCACGAAGAGAGAGGCAAGAAGGAUCGAGAGAGCCAGACAGGUCAAGAAGGAUCGAGAGUGUGCAGGUGUGUUUCUUUGCUUUGCGCGGAGAGAGAGAGAGGAGAUAUUCAGGAUCGAGAGAGUGCAGGGGGAGAGGUUUGGACUGGAAACAAAGAAAACGAUGAAUCUUGGUAUUAUUGCUGGUGUGGCUGCUCUGUUUUUUGGAUUCAAUGAGUUGCCUGAAGUGGGUUGGAGGGUGAAGAGGGUCUCAUCAUUGAACGGUACUGUUUUCUGUUCGAUAUCUCAGGUAAUUCCCUUUAUGCCCUGAUCAAUUCUUCGCCAAUUUUCUGUUCUAAGGAGUAGGUUCUGAAGCGGAGGAGAAGAAUGGCAAGAAAUAGUUAAUCUUUAUGUGAAUGAGAUACCCCAAAGUUUACCAACAUUUAGGAAUCUCAAUCAAUUGAACUUGGACCUCUUUUCAUACUGAAGUAAAAGUGAAGAUGUUGAUCGGGUGCCUGAUUCCAAAUUCUAACAAGACUGAUCGGGCUUCAAUGCUGGAUGAGGCAAUUGAGUAUUUGAAGCAGCUCCAGCUUUAAGUACAGAGGGGAGAAAGGAAGAAACAGAACAAGAAGAAGGAGAAAGGAAGAAACAGAACAACGGGAAGGACAGAAGAGGCAGAGAUAUCCAACAGAGGAGAAGAACUGCUCUACUUCACAGAUUCAAGGCACAAAUUUAUACACCAAAUUAAUUUUUAUGCUUAUUGGUUAUGUAUCAUAAUGAUUAAUUUCGGGUCGAUACUAGGUUUUCAAUUUUGAUUGAGUUGGUAUAAUGUUGGGUACAUAUUUGGCAUCUUGAAGUCCCUUUUCUUUAUGAUAAU
Long non-coding RNA from Rosa chinensis, 945 nucleotides. RefSeq lists it as uncharacterized. The transcript has 5 exons. Lineage: Eukaryota; Viridiplantae; Streptophyta; Magnoliopsida; Rosales; Rosaceae. The record is from RefSeq and is a predicted model, not a curated record.